UCUUUAUGUUUGAAGCCUGAAAUGUGGCAAAAGGUCGCAAAGUUCAAGGGGGCCGAAUACUUUCGCAAGGCACUGUAUAUAUACAUACAGUGGAAAAGCGAUCUCUGGCGUGAUGAAUCAAGCUUCACAAUCUGGCAGACCGACUGCGAAGAAUAUGGGUUUGGCAGAUGCCAGAAGAACGCUACCUGCCCCAAUGCAUAGUGCCAACUUUAAAGUUUGGUGGAGGAGGAAUAAUGGUCUGGGGCUGUUUUACAUGGUUCGAGCCCCUUAGUUCUAGUGAAGGGAAAUCUUAACACUACAUCAUACAAUGACAUUCUAGAUGAUUCUGUGCUUCCAACUUUGUGGCAACAGUUUGGGGAAGGCCUGUUCCUGUUUCAGCAUGACAAUGCCCCCCUGCACAAUGCGAGGUCCAUACAGAAAUGGUUUGUUGAGAUCGGUGUCAAAGUACUUGACUGGCCUGCACAGAGCCCUGACCUCAACCCCAUCGAACACCUUCGUGAUGAAUUUGAACGCCGACUGUGAGCCAGGCCUAAUCACCCUACGUCAGUGCUCGACCUCACUAAUGCUCUUGUGGCUGAAUGGAAGCAAGUCCCUGCAGCAAUGUUCCAACAUCUAGUGGAAAGCCUUCCCAGAAGAGAGGAGGCUGUUAUAGCACCCGAGGGGGGACCCAACCCAUAUGAAUGACAAUGAUUUUGGAAUGAGAUUUUCGACGAGCAGGUGUCCAUAUAUUUUUGGUCAAGUAGUGUACAUGCUAAUGAUGCUUACAAACAACACUCAUCAUUUACUCAAAUAAUUCAGAGAAUAGCUAGCUGCCUUGAACAGAAAUAGAUCUGUCUAAUGUAAGGUGAACACAUGGUUGAAGUGACUGGUGAGCAUAUGAAGAAUGUGACAGGAUUUGAUGAGCGAUAUGUACAUUCACAGGCAUACACUGAAUGAAUGAUGUCUGAACAAGGUGUGAGAUUCUCUGAGAUAUAUCCUAUUUCUGAAGGAAGUGUGGAGAAUUGUGGAGAAACAUCAGGUUAUCAUCCAGACAAUGUUCCAAAGUAAAAAAAAAUACUUUAUUGCAUUCAGUUAGCACACAAAGCACUGAGGAUGCGCAUCUUGAAAGUCAGCCAUGAAAACAAAACAUAAACAAAACAUAAUACAUACCGGGUUCCUUUUCUCCCCAACUCUUCACUACAGAGGGUCGGUAUGAAUAACACAGUAUCAUUAUCAUCAUCACACUAACAAUGGAGCAGAGGUCAUCGCCGGGUUGUGUACCGGAGUAUUUGGAAAUAGUGACAAGAUGGUUUUUCAACACUGUCAAUACUAUUGAAACUAUUAAGUUGAAGUUUUUUCAAUAACAAAAAUAAUAUUUGUAGCUACUUUUUAAGCAAAUACUUGCAGUUAACUUGUGCAAAACUUUAGUAGAUAAAGCAGAUUGCGUUCUUCAUUUCACAUGUCACAUUAUUUGACAUUCUGAAGCUCAGCACAGUUCCCCAGGACGGUAGAGGUGUUUGUUUGUAAAUAGCACAACGGGAGAAAACGGCUGUGUAUUGACAGGGAUCGCUUUUGAUAUUGAAAGUCAAGUGUUUUUUUUUGCUUCAAUAGAGUAAAUCAGGGACGUACAACUACAGCUUUCCUUCACAGAAAAUACAUCAGUCCAACACAUUCGGCAGAAAAUAGCUUCAUUUUCAUCAGAUGAUAACAGACUUGGCUGGCAGCCACAAGUAAAUAAGUCUACAAUCAAAAAGCUAAAACGAUGCAUGGCCAUCAUAUUUCUGUUUAUCAUAGAAAGAACGUAGCCAGCUACAUGUCCUAAUAUUAAGCUUAAAGUUCAUCUUGAAUUUCACCGGAAAAAAGUAGGCUGGCUACACAUAGAGAAAAAGUGCAGAAGAAAAGUAGCAACACAUCAGUCAGAGCACUAUCUGCUGACCAUUAGUGAAUUCUCAUCCCAGCAACUGAAGCACAAAAUGAGUCAGAUACCGAGCAGAAAUUAAAAUAAGAACCCGUUUAGAUCUGUGUUUACGAAAAACACAGCAAGAUUUCUUAUGCGUUUUAUCUUUUUUUCCUUCGUAAAAAAUGAUGCGUUAAUGCACCCCCUACAUUUAACUUGCUAGUCUAAGUUACUGAAUUCAUACGGUAACGAGGCAUCAUAUUGAGCACGGUUACAUGCACACAAUAAUGCGAUUGUGGAUAGUUCAGGUUAUAGAAUCAUUUGUUCAAAAUGUUUACAUGCUUUGAUAAAUGCAGAAAAUCAAAACUAACUUUUUACCAAUGAUAUUUUUGCAAAGAUUUUGAUUCUGUCAAGUUUGUAUGUGAAAACUAUUUACACUUUCAGUUUUUCGGAACUCACUUCACUCUUUCACUCAGAUCGAGCUACCAGCGCUGGCACAUACACAGAUCAACUACCCCACUGGAACGCUGAUUAAACCAUGUACGUGUCCUAAUCAUUUGAAGGAUUGAUCAGAAAACCAGGUGUUUUAAUCGGCGUAUGCUCACUUCGGUUAUGACCUGAACGCCAAUUAAGAUAAGUAAUGUAAGGUGUUUACACGGCCUACUGCCAUAAUGAGUUUAAUAUUGAUGUAUUACUGUGUAUGUAAACAUAUUCAUUGUGUAAGCUUUCUGCCGUGUUUGAGAAGUCAUAGCUCUUUGGAUUCAUUAUUUGUACAGCUGCCACUGCUAUCUUUUGAUAUCCUUGCGUUUUUUUUCUCCUCUUCGUUCUCAGCCUAUCUGCUCCUCCCCCCUCUUCUCCGAGCACAGCAGGCAGGCCUCUUGCAUUAGCGACUCCAGACUCCACACAGACACAGCGUGUAUACAUGCUGCUUCAGAGCCAGUACUGUUCUUCCUCUAGACAAGCAUGCGUCAAAACUUUGUUCAUUUGCAUAAUGUCUUUCGUUCACACUCGCUUGUACAUUUCCAAACUCACCAAAAAUUACAUUUCCGUAGCUCCUACCUAUAUAUGUGUGACUUUAUGAGCUGGAUUGCCUGUCUUUGCACUCAUUAGCAUAUUUAGCUAGCAGCAUCCAUGGAAAUUCUCAAUUACUUGUGCUACUUUUGUUAACAUUCUGGUAACAGAUGCCAAAGUGUAUUUUUUGCUUGUUUUUUUUGACGCCCCCUUGUGUACUAAGCCGGUAAUACUGUAAAUCCCAGGAUGACAGAAGGACGGUUUGACGAUGUUAAAAUCUGGAAACCACCCAAACCUAGUCAUCACCCUGGGAGCCAUCUAACCCUAUGUGUAUGUGUGUGUGUGCCGUUAAUUAACAAGCACAAAUUAGCCCCGGUGCUUUUCCUCCAUAAGACAACAUAUAUUAUCUUCUUUAAGGCAAAUACAUUAUUGCAUCUUCUACAAUAUGAAUCAAUUCUGUCCUGCAUCACCAAAACAAGCGCAGAAAGAAGCAAUGGAAAUUAUGCAGGAUGGAAGGAAGUAGAAAACAAGACUUGAAAACACUGAUAAUCCUCUUAAACUUGUAUUUAUUUGAUCAGAUAAUGGUUAUCUGCUAUCAUCUUAGCAAUGUUUACCAUAAGCAGGGUUUGGCAGACAUGGAUUACAUUUAGAAAGUAAACUAGCCAACCCUGACCAUAAGAUGGGGAUGGGGAGUAAAAUACAUUCUGAUAGCAGGUCAUUAUUGAUAAGGUAUGUGUUGUUCUGAUAGCAGGUCAUUAUUGAUAAGGCAUGUGUUGUUCUGAUAGCAGGUCAUUAUUGAUAAGGUAUGUGUUGUUCUGAUAGCAGGUCAUUAUUGAUAAGGCAUGUGUUGUUCUGAUAGCAGGUCAUUACUGAUAAGGCAUGUGUUGUUCUGAUAGCAGGUCAUUACUGAUAAGGCAUGUGUUGUUCUGAUAGCAGGUCAUUACUGAUAAGGCAUGUGUUGUUCUGAUAGCAGGUCAUUACUGAUAAGGUAUGUGUUGUUUUGAUAGCAGGUCAUUACUGAUAAGGCAUGUGUUGUUCUGAUAGCAGGUCAUUAUUGAUAAGGUAUGUGUUGUUCUGAUAGCAGGUCAUUAUUGAUAAGGCAUGUGUUGUUCUGAUAGCAGGUCAUUAUUGAUAAGGUAUGUGUUGUUCUGAUAGCAGGUCAUUAUUGAUAAGGCAUGUGUUGUUCUGAUAGCAGGUCAUUAUUGAUAAGGCAUGUGUUGUUCUGAUAGCAGGUCAUUAUUGAUAAGGUAUGUGUUGUUCUGAUAGCAGGUCAUUAUUGAUAAGGCAUGUGUUGUUCUGAUAGCAGGUCAUUAUUGAUAAGGUAUGUGUUGUUCUGAUAGCAGGUCAUUAUUGAUAAGGCAUGUGUUGUUCUGAUAGGUCAUUAUUGAUAAGGCAUGUGUUGUUCUGAUAGGUCAUUAUCGAUAAGGCAUGUGUUGUUCUGAUAGGUCAUUAUCGAUAAGGCAUGUGUUGUUCUGAUAGGUCAUUAUCGAUAAGGCAUGUGUUGUUCUGAUAGGUCAUUAUUGAUAAGGAAUUUAUUUCAACUAACACUGCUUCCUCACUGUUGAACUGGUUUCCCAUCAGUUACAGACACAGGGAGAAGAGCUGAGAAAGGAAGGCAUUGGGGGUGUUAGAAUGGUGUGUACAGAAUAUUCUACUGUAGAGGAUUUGGUGUGUAAAAGACAGAAAUUGAAUAUUGACAUGGAAUAUACCAGCCAAUCAGUUGGUGGGACAUAGAACUGGAAAAUACCAGCCAAUCAGUUGGUGGGACAAUAGAACUGUAAAAUACCAGCCAAUCAGUUGGUGGGACAAUAGAACUGGAAUAUACCAGCCAAUCAGUUGGUGGGACAUAGAACUGGAAAAUACCAGCCAAUCAGUUGGUGGGACAUAGAACUGUAAAAUACCAGCCAAUCAGUUGGUGGGACAAUAGAACUGUAAAAUACCAGCCAAUCAGUUGGUGGGACAAUAGAACUGGAAAAUACCAGCCUAUCAGUUGGUGGGACAUAGAACUGGAAAAUACCAGCCAAUCAGUUGGUGGGACAUAGAACUGGAAAAUACCAGCCAAUCAGUUGGUGGGACAAUAGAACUGGAAAAUACCAGCCAAUCAGUUGGUGGGACAUAGAACUGGAAUAUACCAGCCAAUCAGUUGGUGGGACAAUAGAACUGGAAUAUACCAGCCAAUCAGUUGGUGGGACAAUAGAACUGGAAUAUAC
Molecule: long non-coding RNA, 5097 nt
Organism: Oncorhynchus tshawytscha (Chinook salmon)
Lineage: Eukaryota; Metazoa; Chordata; Actinopteri; Salmoniformes; Salmonidae
Source: Ensembl